UCGAGCGGUAGAGAGAAGCUUGCUUCUCUUGAGAGCGGCGGACGGGUGAGUAAUGCCUAGGAAUCUGCCUGGUAGUGGGGGAUAACGUUCGGAAACGGACGCUAAUACCGCAUACGUCCUACGGGAGUAUAGCGGGGGACCUUCGGGCCUUGCGCUAUCAGAUGAGCCUAGGUCUUUAUUAGCUAGUUGGUGAGGUAAUGGCUCACCAAGGCGACGAUCCGUAACUGGUCUGAGAGGAUGAUCAGUCACACUGGAACUGAGACACGGUCCAGACUCCUACGGGAGGCAGCAGUGGGGAAUAUUGGACAAUGGGCGAAAGCCUGAUCCAGCCAUGCCGCGUGUGUGAAGAAGGUCUUCGGAUUGUAAAGCACUUUAAGUUGGGAGGAAGGGCAUUAACCUAAUACGUUAGUGUUUUGACGUUACCGACAGAAUAAGCACCGGCUAACUCUGUGCCAGCAGCCGCGGUAAUACAGAGGGUGCAAGCGUUAAUCGGAAUUACUGGGCGUAAAGCGCGCGUAGGUGGUUUGUUAAGUUGGAUGUGAAAAUCCCCGGGCU
RNAcentral lists this ribosomal RNA (555 nucleotides) under bacterium 25-L049616-122-011-A04. RNAcentral's name for it is "bacterial SSU rRNA". It matches the Rfam family "Bacterial small subunit ribosomal RNA", at positions 62 to 610 of the family's 1533-position model. The record is from RNAcentral.